RNAcentral lists this non-coding RNA (88 nucleotides) under Haemophilus influenzae. Its description in RNAcentral is "TPP sequence". It matches the Rfam family "TPP riboswitch aptamer (THI element)". From Rfam's summary of the family: Vitamin B(1) in its active form thiamin pyrophosphate (TPP) is an essential coenzyme that is synthesised by coupling of pyrimidine and thiazole moieties in bacteria. Lineage: Bacteria; Pseudomonadati; Pseudomonadota; Gammaproteobacteria; Pasteurellales; Pasteurellaceae. RNAcentral also lists the same sequence under 1 other name. The record is from RNAcentral.
AAAGCCUAGUCGGGGUGCAAUACGCUGAGAUCAUACCCGUGAACCUGAAACAGUUAAUACUGACGUAGGAAACUAGGAAUAUAACCUU